AGAGUUUGAUCCUGGCUCAGGAUAAACGCUGGCGGCGUGCUUAACACAUGCAAGUCGAACGAAGCACUUUAUUUGAUUUCCUUCGGGACUGAUUAUUUUGUGACUGAGUGGCGGACGGGUGAGUAACGCGUGGGUAACCUGCCUUGUACAGGGGGAUAACAGUUGGAAACGGCUGCUAAUACCGCAUAAGCGCACAGCAUCGCAUGAUGCAGUGUGAAAAACUCCGGUGGUAUAAGAUGGACCCGCGUUGGAUUAGCUAGUUGGUGAGGUAACGGCCCACCAAGGCGACGAUCCAUAGCCGACCUGAGAGGGUGACCGGCCACAUUGGGACUGAGACACGGCCCAAACUCCUACGGGAGGCAGCAGUGGGGAAUAUUGCACAAUGGGCGAAAGCCUGAUGCAGCGACGCCGCGUGAGCGAAGAAGUAUUUCGGUAUGUAAAGCUCUAUCAGCAGGGAAGAUAAUGACGGUACCUGACUAAGAAGCACCGGCUAAAUACGUGCCAGCAGCCGCGGUAAUACGUAUGGUGCAAGCGUUAUCCGGAUUUACUGGGUGUAAAGGGAGCGCAGGCGGGAAGACAAGUUGGAAGUGAAAUCCAUGGGCUCAACCCAUGAACUGCUUUCAAAACUGUUUUUCUUGAGUAGUGCAGAGGUAGGCGGAAUUCCCGGUGUAGCGGUGGAAUGCGUAGAUAUCGGGAGGAACACCAGUGGCGAAGGCGGCCUACUGGGCACCAACUGACGCUGAGGCUCGAAAGUGUGGGUAGCAAACAGGAUUAGAUACCCUGGUAGUCCACACCGUAAACGAUGAUUACUAGGUGUUGGAGGAUUGACCCCUUCAGUGCCGCAGUUAACACAAUAAGUAAUCCACCUGGGGAGUACGACCGCAAGGUUGAAACUCAAAGGAAUUGACGGGGGCCCGCACAAGCAGUGGAGUAUGUGGUUUAAUUCGACGCAACGCGAAGAACCUCACCAAGUCUUGACAUCCCUUGACGGUGCUGGAAACAGUACUUCUCUUCGGAGCAAGGAGACAGGUGGUGCAUGGUUGUCGUCAGCUCGUGUCGUGAGAUGUUGGGUUAAGUCCCGCAACGAGCGCAACCCUUAUGGUCAGUUACUACGCAAGAGGACUCUGGCCAGACUGCCGUUGACAAAACGGAGGAAGGUGGGGAUGACGUCAAAUCAUCAUGCCCUUUAUGACUUGGGCUACACACGUACUACAAUGGCGUUAAACAAAGAGAAGCAAGACCGCGAGGUGGAGCAAAACUCAGAAACAACGUCCCAGUUCGGACUGCAGGCUGCAACUCGCCUGCACGAAGUCGGAAUUGCUAGUAAUCGUGGAUCAGCAUGCCACGGUGAAUACGUUCCCGGGCCUUGUACACACCGCCCGUCACACCAUGAGAGCCGGGGGGACCCGAAGUCGGUAGUCUAACCGCAAGGAGGACGCCGCCGAAGGUAAAACUGGUGAUUGGGGUGAAGUCGUAACAAGGUA
RNAcentral lists this ribosomal RNA (1484 nucleotides) under metagenome. RNAcentral's name for it is "bacterial SSU rRNA". It matches the Rfam family "Bacterial small subunit ribosomal RNA". The record is from RNAcentral.